GCUUUCGUUAUAAAAUGAAAUAAGUCGUAACAUAGUAGAUUUACCGGAAGGUGAAUCUGGGUAGA
RNAcentral lists this ribosomal RNA (65 nucleotides) under Oryzaephilus surinamensis (saw-toothed grain beetle). RNAcentral describes it as "12S ribosomal RNA". The record is from RNAcentral. Lineage: Eukaryota; Metazoa; Arthropoda; Insecta; Coleoptera; Silvanidae.